This is a long non-coding RNA of Physella acuta, 1554 nucleotides long. RefSeq lists it as uncharacterized. The record is from RefSeq and is a predicted model, not a curated record. Lineage: Eukaryota; Metazoa; Mollusca; Gastropoda; Physidae.
AUAGUUGCUUUUUUUAAUGAGCAAGUACAGACAGCAUUGCCUUGUUUCUAUGCUCAUCAUAGUGACAUGGUACAGGUGAUUUAGUAAUUUUGAUAGUUGCUUUUUUUAAUGAGCAAGUAAAUAGAGUGUUGCCUUGUUUGUAUGCUCAUCAUAAUGACUCACAGAAAACCUGGAAGGGAAUGAACAAGCCCAGGACAUGGAGAUCUGGUCUUAUUAGGGUCAUGCAAGUCUUGCUAACUCCAUCUUUUUGUUAAGGGAAUAUAGGGACAGGAAUAGAUAUUCUUACCUCAUCUUUUUAUUUAAGGUCAUAUAAAGGCUUUCUCACCUCAGGGUAAGAAUUCCUAACCUGUCAUUAGUAUAAAAUGUUGCUCACAAGAAAAAGAAAAACCACAGGUGGAGCUUGUACUGGAGGAAACACAACGACCGAGUGUGUUGAAAGAUGGCCUUUUGUUUUAGCUGAGUGCAAUGUAUGAAUGAUUUUAAUUGGAAAUUUGAAUUGUUCUCUUUUCAUGAACUUGAUACAAGUUUUCAGAUUAGUUAAGUUAAACUAAAUCUUCUGAAAAACUUAUCUCUUCAAAUUGUUUAAGUAUCGAAUAUUUUCAGGCUCGAUACUGAAUAUAUGUUAUCCCAGUAUUAACACCUAUCAUUAUUACGAAAUAAAUGGCUAUUCAGUAUCAGUUUAAAAUUAAUUUUCACCGUCAUUAAUAGCAUUUAGCAAAUAUGCCUUAUCCAGAUUGGAUUUUAUAACCUUUUAUUCUUAUGUAUGUGUGUCUAAUGAAUUAUUUUAAAGGUCACAAGAUGCUCAAAUUAAGAACAGUUGACAGUUACAGUUUUUUUUAUUGAAGUUAUCCCAAGAGUUUGAUGUGUUGCAAUCUGAGGAAGAUCAUAGAGUAAAGGUGUCUUGUCAUCUGUUAGUGUCAGCCUAUAGACUAUAGACAUAGAGGUUUCAUCCGGGAUUUUAAUAUAUUUUUUUAGAUCUUUAAUCCAGGAAUGUGCCUUUUUAUGCAAGCAUGUUUUUACAUUGAUGUCAUUUGGAAAGGGCUGGAAACCAAUUGAUGUGUCUGUUUUUGGUUAAUAUUUAAUGCAUUUUAAAUAUUUGUAUUAUUCAAGCUUAGGGUUCCCAUUGUUAAAAUUCAUGCAUUUUUAAGGUUUUUGUUGCCUAGGUUAGGGUUGCAGUUGUAAAAAUUCACCUAUUUGUCCUAUUUUUGUUAGCCUAAGUAAGGGUUGCAAUUGUUAAAAUGUAUGUAUUUAAAUGUUUUUGUUGCCUAGGUUAUGGUUGCAAUUGUUAAAAUGUGUGUAUUUGUUAUGUCAUUGUUAGCCGAGUUUAGGGAUGCAAAUUGUUAAAAUUCAUGCAUUUUUAAGGUUGCAAUUAUUUAUUAUUCAUGUUAAAUUGUUGGUGGUUAGUAGACUACACUGUUUAGCUAUAAUUUAUAUACAGAUAUUUUUAAUAGCAUAAUAGGGGAAUUGUAAUGAGACUUACAGAAACAAACAGAUUUAAAAGUAAAGAUAAUGCAGUACGGGCUACAGAAAUAAAAGUUUAUUUAGUAGAAAGUU